Molecule: ribosomal RNA, 468 nt
Filed under: uncultured bacterium
Lineage: Bacteria
Description: partial 16S ribosomal RNA
Rfam family: Bacterial small subunit ribosomal RNA
Source: RNAcentral
GACGAACGCUGGCGGCGUGCUUAACACAUGCAAGUCGAACGGAAAGGCCCUGCUUUUGCGGGGUGCUCGAGUGGCGAACGGGUGAGUAACACGUGAGUAACCUGCCCUUGACUGUGGGAUAACUUCAGGAAACUGGGGCUAAUACAGGAGAGGAGCUCCUGCAGCAUGGGGGGGGUUGGAAAGUUUCGGCGGUGGGGGAUGGACUCGCGGCUUACCAGCUGGUUGGGGGAGUAGUGGCUUACCAAGGCUUCGACGGAUAGCCGGCCUGAGAGGGUGGCCACCCACCUUACUCCUACGGGACGCAGCAGUCUGCUACGUUAGGCAACGGGCGAAAGUAUUGCCCAGCGAGGCCGCGUGUGUUACGACGGUCCCCCGUUCGGAAAGCCCGCCUACGGGUGAUGAACCGCUUUCGCCUGUGCCGAAGCGUGCGUGACGGUACUGAGUAAAGAAGCACCGGCUAACUACGUG